AUCCUACGGGAGGCAGCAGUGGGGAAUAUUGCACAAUGGGCGCAAGCCUGAUGCAGCCAUGCCGCGUGUAUGAAGAAGGCCUUCGGGUUGUAAAGUACUUUCAGCAGUGAGGAAGGUGGGUAUGUUAAUAGCAUAUUCAUUUGACGUUAGCUGCAGAAGAAGCACCGGCUAACUCCGUGCCAGCAGCCGCGGUAAUACGGAGGGUGCGAGCGUUAAUCGGAAUUACUGGGCGUAAAGCGCAUGCAGGUGGUUUGUUAAGUCAGAUGUGAAAGCCCGGGGCUCAACCUCGGAAUUGCAUUUGAAACUGGCAAACUAGAGUACUGUAGAGGGGGUAGAAUUUCAGGUGUAGCGGUGAAAUGCGUAGAGAUCUGAAGGAAUACCGGUGGCGAAGGCGGCCCCCCUGGACAGAUACUGACACUCAGAUGCGAAAGCGUGGGGAGCAAACAGGAUUAGAUACCCUGGUAG
RNAcentral lists this ribosomal RNA (465 nucleotides) under uncultured bacterium. RNAcentral's name for it is "bacterial SSU rRNA". It matches the Rfam family "Bacterial small subunit ribosomal RNA", at positions 335 to 793 of the family's 1533-position model. The record is from RNAcentral.